GGAACUUCACGCUUUCUCCAGUCGGGUUUUGUUUUAUUAACGAGGCGUUCCGUUUUAUUUCUGCGACCCGAAGCUUACCUCACGAGUCCUGCGUACUGACGAACUUCUCGCGCUAACGUGUUUGCGUGAGAUGGUUUCUCACGGCUCGGUGGAACAGCCGCUCUGCACUUUAUUCUAUCUUACGCAUUUCAGGGGUUUUUGUUUUGUUUUUUUAUUAUUUUUUUUAAUUAUUGUAUUUAUUGUUUUUAUUUUUCCCCACGAGUGGAUGUAGAUAUAAGAGCUUUAUUUUUUAUUUAUUUUCUUAAUUUUUGUUCAGUCACUGUAUAUUUAUGACGUGGGAAAUGAUUAUUAUUAUUGUUUUGUUUUUUUGUUGUUGUUUUUUUUUUUCCAUUUGUGAACACUGAGUCGAUGUUUUCUUCGUAGAUUUAUAAGAACGCGUAGUUGCCUGAUGGGUAAAUAUUUAUACUGCUUUACAUUUUGGUGCUGAAUACCAGGUUAAAGGAAUUUUUAUUAUUAUUAUUAUUAUUAUUAUUAUUAUUAUUAUUAUUAUUAUUAUUAUUUGCUCCGAAUUUACUCGAGAUGUUUUUGUUGUCUGAUGUUUGCUCGCGUAGUUUUGCACGGGAGCUGCGGAGAUGACCGCUAACAAAAAAACAAAACGCUCGGACCGCCAUCAUUUCUCGCGCCGAGCGUCAAACACGUUCACACCGAAAUACUCGCGAUGCGUUCAGCGUAGCAGAUUCUGGUGUGGACGGUGGGGAGACGACGUCAUCGCCAGCGCGCUCACGGUCGAAGAAAACGCCGGACCCGGGUCCGAGCGUGGAAAGCCGAUGUUUGAGCGGAUGACGAGGCGAGAGAGAGCGUGGCGGGCUAAAACGCUAAAGCGCCGCUGCACCACGCUGUCUGUCAGCAGGUAGUGGAAUGGCGUCGUGUGUACUGCAGGAAAGCAAAGUGAAAAUUGGGCGAAUUUAAACAGAAAAUCAUUCUUGGACUGAGUUCCUUCAACGGCGAAGAAGCUCAUCGUUCCGCGUCGUCACUUCCCGCUUUCGAACUUCCGGGAGAGCGUGUCCGUGACGCUCCAGCGUCCCGCCGAGGUCCCGCAGCUUCGUGACGAAGAUGUUUACGGAAGAGAGGAAAUAUUUUUGGGUGACUUUAGAGGUUCAUUAGUGACGUUGGAUUAGUCUCGUCGCUCCAGUGCAAAAAAAAAACAAAAAAAAACUGGAGCAAACGUCAGAGCAAGACUCGCAUUUUAUUUCCUACAGGAAAAAAAGAACU
This is a long non-coding RNA of Ictalurus punctatus (channel catfish), 1272 nucleotides long. The record is from Ensembl. Lineage: Eukaryota; Metazoa; Chordata; Actinopteri; Siluriformes; Ictaluridae.